GUAGUUUGACUCCGUGGCUACAGAACGACGCUGGCGGCAGGCUUAACACAUGCAAGUCGAGCGCCCCGCAAGGGGAGCGGCAGACGGGUGAGUAACGCGUGGGAACGUACCAUUUGCUACGGAAUAACUCAGGGAAACUUGUGCUAAUACCGUAUGAGCCCGAAAGGGGAAAGAUUUAUCGGCAAAUGAUCGGCCCGCGUUGGAUUAGCUAGUUGGUGGGGUAAAGGCCUACCAAGGCGACGAUCCAUAGCUGGUCUGAGAGGAUGAUCAGCCACACUGGGACUGAGACACGGCCCAGACUCCUACGGGAGGCAGCAGUGGGGAAUAUUGGGCAAUGGGCGCAAGCCUGAUCCAGCCAUGCCGCGUGAGUGAUGAAGGCCCUAGGGUUGUAAAGCUCUUUCACCGGUGAAGAUAAUGACGGUAACCGGAGAAGAAGCCCCGGCUAACUUCGUG
RNAcentral lists this ribosomal RNA (453 nucleotides) under uncultured Brucellaceae bacterium. RNAcentral's name for it is "bacterial SSU rRNA". It matches the Rfam family "Bacterial small subunit ribosomal RNA", at positions 9 to 507 of the family's 1533-position model. The record is from RNAcentral. Lineage: Bacteria; Pseudomonadati; Pseudomonadota; Alphaproteobacteria; Hyphomicrobiales; Brucellaceae.